AACCGAGUCUUAAUUGGGCGUUAAGUUGCAGGGUAUAGACCCGAAACCCGGUGAUCUAGCCAUGGGCAGGUUGAAGGUUGGGUAACACUAACUGGAGGACCGAACCGACUAAUGUUGAAAAAUUAGCGGAUGACCUGUGGCUGGGGGUGAAAGGCCAAUCAAACCGGGAGAUAGCUGGUUCUCCCCGAAAGCUAUUUAGGUAGCGCCUCGUGAAUUCAUCUCCGGGGGUAGAGCACUGUUUCGGCUAGGGGGCCAUCCCGGCUUACCAACCCGAUGCAAACUGCGAAUACCGGAGAAUGUUAUCACGGGAGACACACGGCGGGUGCUAACGUCCGUCGUGAAGAGGGAAACAACCCAGACCGCCAGCUAAGGUCCCAAAGUCAUGGUUAAGUGGGAAACGAUGUGGGAAGGCCCAGACAGCCAGGAUGUUGGCUUAGAAGCAGCCAUCAUUUAAAGAAAGCGUAAUAGCUCACUGGUCGAGUCGGCCUGCGCGGAAGAUGUAACGGGGCUAAACCAUGCACCGAAGCUGCGGCAGCGACGCUGAUGCGUUGUUGGGUAGGGGAGCGUUCUGUAAGCCUGCGAAGGUGGCCUGUGAGGGUUGCUGGAGGUAUCAGAAGUGCGAAUGCUGACAUAAGUAACGAUAAAGCGGGUGAAAAGCCCGCUCGCCGGAAGACCAAGGGUUCCUGUCCAACGUUAAUCGGGGCAGGGUGAGUCGACCCCUAAGGCGAGGCCGAAAGGCGUAGUCGAUGGGAAACGGGUUAAUAUUCCCGUACUUGGUGUUACUGCGAAGGGGGGACGGAGAAGGCUAUGUUGGCCGGGCGACGGUUGUCCCGGUUUAAGCGUGUAGGCUGGUUUUCCAGGCAAAUCCGGAAAAUCAAGGCUGAGGCGUGAUGACGAGGCACUACGGUGCUGAAGCAACAAAUGCCCUGCUUCCAGGAAAAGCCUCUAAGCAUCAGGUAACAUCAAAUCGUACCCCAAACCGACACAGGUGGUCAGGUAGAGAAUACCAAGGCGCUUGAGAGAACUCGGGUGAAGGAACUAGGCAAAAUGGUGCCGUAACUUCGGGAGAAGGCACGCUGACACGUAGGUGAAGUGAUUUACUCAUGGAGCUGAAGUCAGUCGAAGAUACCAGCUGGCUGCAACUGUUUAUUAAAAACACAGCACUGUGCAAACACGAAAGUGGACGUAUACGGUGUGACGCCUGCCCGGUGCCGGAAGGUUAAUUGAUGGGGUCAGCGCAAGCGAAGCUCCUGAUCGAAGCCCCGGUAAACGGCGGCCGUAACUAUAACGGUCCUAAGGUAGCGAAAUUCCUUGUCGGGUAAGUUCCGACCUGCACGAAUGGCGUAAUGAUGGCCAGGCUGUCUCCACCCGAGACUCAGUGAAAUUGAACUCGCUGUGAAGAUGCAGUGUACCCGCGGCAAGACGGAAAGACCCCGUGAACCUUUACUAUAGCUUGACACUGAACAUUGAGCCUUGAUGUGUAGGAUAGGUGGGAGGCUUUGAAGUGUGGACGCCAGUCUGCAUGGAGCCGACCUUGAAAUACCACCCUUUAAUGUUUGAUGUUCUAACGUGGACCCGUUACCCGGGUUGCGGACAGUGUCUGGUGGGUAGUUUGACUGGGGCGGUCUCCUCCUAAAGAGUAACGGAGGAGCACGAAGGUUGGCUAAUCCUGGUCGGACAUCAGGAGGUUAGUGCAAUGGCAUAAGCCAGCUUGACUGCGAGCGUGACGGCGCGAGCAGGUGCGAAAGCAGGUCAUAGUGAUCCGGUGGUUCUGAAUGGAAGGGCCAUCGCUCAACGGAUAAAAGGUACUCCGGGGAUAACAGGCUGAUACCGCCCAAGAGUUCAUAUCGACGGCGGUGUUUGGCACCUCGAUGUCGGCUCAUCACAUCCUGGGGCUGAAGUAGGUCCCAAGGGUAUGGCUGUUCGCCAUUUAAAGUGGUACGCGAGCUGGGUUUAGAACGUCGUGAGACAGUUCGGUCCCUAUCUGCCGUGGGCGCUGGAGAACUGAGGGGGGCUGCUCCUAGUACGAGAGGACCGGAGUGGACGCAUCACUGGUGUUCGGGUUGUCAUGCCAAUGGCACUGCCCGGUAGCUAAAUGCGGAAGAGAUAAGUGCUGAAAGCAUCUAAGCACGAAACUUGCCCCGAG
This 2146-nucleotide ribosomal RNA is filed under the name Salmonella enterica subsp. enterica serovar Blegdam. RNAcentral's name for it is "partial 23S ribosomal RNA". It matches the Rfam family "Bacterial large subunit ribosomal RNA", at positions 675 to 2803 of the family's 2925-position model. Lineage: Bacteria; Pseudomonadati; Pseudomonadota; Gammaproteobacteria; Enterobacterales; Enterobacteriaceae. The record is from RNAcentral.